RNAcentral lists this long non-coding RNA (506 nucleotides) under Monodelphis domestica (gray short-tailed opossum). Its description in RNAcentral is "lncRNA (ENSMODG00000042794.1)". The record is from RNAcentral. Lineage: Eukaryota; Metazoa; Chordata; Mammalia; Didelphimorphia; Didelphidae.
CCAGGAUGUCUGAGAGCAGAUUUGAACCCAGGACCUCCCAUCUCUAGGCCUGGCUCUCAGGCCCCCAAGUCAUCUACCUUCCCCCUAAAGUCUCUACUAGAAAGGGUCUCUGACACCAUGAUGAAUACCAAAAGGACCAAGGACUUGUCUGCCAGGCUUGACACAAAGAUUCAAAUCAAGAUAUCUUCUCAAUGUGUCUCAUCCUCUGUCAUGUGCUAUUGAAUGGAGGUUUACAUUCUACUAAGAGGAAACAACAUAUAUACAAGGGCAGCAAGGUGGCUCAGGCCUAAAGAUGAGAGGUUCUCUGUUCAAAUGUGGUCUCAGACUUUUCCUACCUGUGUGACCCUGGGCAAGUCACUUGACCCCCAUGACCUAGCCCUUACCACUCUUCUGCCUUGGAACCAGUAUACAGUAUUAAUUCUAAGACAGAAGGUAAGAGUUAAUUUUUUAUUACAAAUUUAACAAAAUCAAAUAAAACAAGCAUUUCCAUAUAUAAAGAAAAAGAA